RNAcentral lists this ribosomal RNA (435 nucleotides) under uncultured bacterium. RNAcentral's name for it is "partial 16S ribosomal RNA". It matches the Rfam family "Bacterial small subunit ribosomal RNA", at positions 29 to 507 of the family's 1533-position model. The record is from RNAcentral.
AGCGAACGCUGGCGGCAGGCUUAACACAUGCAAGUCGAGCGGGCAUCUUCGGAUGUCAGCGGCAGACGGGUGAGUAACACGUGGGAACGUACCCUUCGGUUCGGAACAACUCUGGGAAACUGGAGCUAAUACCGGAUACGCCCUUAUGGGGAAAGGUUUACUGCCGAAGGAUCGGCCCGCGUCUGAUUAGCUAGUUGGUGGGGUAACGGCCUACCAAGGCGACGAUCAGUAGCUGGUCUGAGAGGAUGAUCAGCCACACUGGGACUGAGACACGGCCCAGACUCCUACGGGAGGCAGCAGUGGGGAAUAUUGGACAAUGGGCGCAAGCCUGAUCCAGCCAUGCCGCGUGAGUGAUGAAGGCCUUAGGGUUGCAAAGCUCUUUUGUCCGGGACGAUAAUGACGGUACCGGAAGAAUAAGCCCCGGCUAACUUCGUG